CACAAACCAGCCCACUUGAUUAAACCAACACCCCAUCCCAAUAAGAACUAUGACCCGGUCCACUCGUUCCUUCAGCAGCAAUAGCAAAUCCCUCAACAGGAUUCAACGACAACAAUACAUACAACAGUACACAACAACAACCAGACCAAUCAAGCCAAGAGCUCUUCGCGAAACACGAACCUAGAUCCGACCGAACUAACCCAUCAUCGAACAAAAUCCAUUGACCCACGACCGACCCGUCCUCAACCCGUUGCUCACACGCCCACCCCACGCAGAUUCACACGAGAAAAAGCCUCAAAUCUUCUAGAAUAUGUGAAAGUUUAGAAGCCGUUAAGUUUGUUGGAAUCGUUGAAGUAGUGGUGAAGCUCUGCUGGUGAUCGAUAUCCCGACGAUCAGUUAGUAAUCCCGUUUUGCUGCUCGGAAGGAGGAAAUCAUGUUUUGGAUGCUAAGUUCGUGAAAAAGAUGGAAAAGGUGUUUAUAGCUACUUAUUGGAGCAAUUAUGGAUGAUCGAGACACUUUCUGGCUUGUUCGUGAUUAAACCAUGUGUGAGAAUUGAAGAAGAGAUGAAAAGAUGACUCCGACACUUGCUAAGUCAACAUGUAGACCGCAAGUAGUACAUGUGGAACGCAAUUGGGCAAAGAAAGAGUCAGAAGUCCAAAAUACCAAGAGCUGACUUGCAGAAAAUUUUGGUCUUGCACCCUCCCUGCUGGCCGCAAGUACUACCCGCGCCCAAGGACAAGGCGCAAGUAAGGACCAUAAGUGGCCACCGAUUAUUUUUUCUCUUAUUUCUUUCAUAUUUUAAUUUUAGGGUUUCCUCAUGUACUAUAAAUACCCUUUAUGUAUUUUUUUUAGUAGUAGGAAUGCACUUUUGAUACUCACAAACAUAUUUUGAUUCCUAAAUCUGACUUUGGUCUUGAAAUUCUCUUGUAUUGAUUUCAUUUGAUUAAUUCAGUUAUGGUUUUGGAUUUUUCUA
Molecule: long non-coding RNA, 973 nt
Organism: Capsicum annuum
Lineage: Eukaryota; Viridiplantae; Streptophyta; Magnoliopsida; Solanales; Solanaceae
Exons: 3
Source: RefSeq, a predicted model, not a curated record